This 95-nucleotide transfer RNA is filed under the name Mycobacterium kiyosense. RNAcentral describes it as "Mycobacterium sp. IWGMT90018-18076 tRNA-Thr". Lineage: Bacteria; Bacillati; Actinomycetota; Actinomycetes; Mycobacteriales; Mycobacteriaceae. The record is from RNAcentral. RNAcentral also lists the same sequence under 1 other name.
UGCCGGUGCUGCGGGAGCUGGCACCGACCGCGCAGUUGGUGGUCGGGAUGUCGCUGGGCGGCCUGACCGCCAUUCGGCUCGGCGCGUUGGCGCCC